RNAcentral lists this small RNA (878 nucleotides) under uncultured Gemmatimonas sp. Its description in RNAcentral is "bacterial SSU rRNA". The stretch from base 1 to 471 matches the Rfam family "Bacterial small subunit ribosomal RNA", at positions 1064 to 1533 of the family's 1533-position model. The record is from RNAcentral. Lineage: Bacteria; Pseudomonadati; Gemmatimonadota; Gemmatimonadia; Gemmatimonadales; Gemmatimonadaceae.
GUCGUGAGAUGUUGGGUUAAGUCCCGCAACGAGCGCAACCCUCGUCCCUAGUUACCAGCGGGUUAUGCCGGGCACUCUAGGGAGACUGCCGGUGUCAAACCGGAGGAAGGUGGGGAUGACGUCAAGUCAUCAUGGCCCUUACGUCCAGGGCGACACACGUGCUACAAUGGCCGGUACAGAGCGUCGCCAACCCGCGAGGGUGCGCUAAUCGCUAAAAGCCGGUCUAAGUUCGGAUUGUAGUCUGCAACUCGACUGCAUGAAGCCGGAAUCGCUAGUAAUCGUGGAUCAGCCACGCCACGGUGAAUACGUUCCCGGGCCUUGUACACACCGCCCGUCACGCCAUGGAAGCUGGGGGGACCUGAAGUCGGUGGGCUAACCGCAAGGAGGCAGCCGCCAAAGGUCAAUUCAGUGACUGGGGCGAAGUCGUAACAAGGUAGCCGUAGGGGAACCUGCGGCUGGAUCACCUCCUUUCUGGAGCAUCGAGUAGGCUGACCUUCUUGGGUCAGCAGAAAGAUCUCAGAAGUCGCCCGCACUCGAUCGCUUUCUAGCUCGCAUCACUUCAUCUUGUCGGCCCCUGCGCGGGGCCGACCUGCUCUUUGACAACUGAUGAUGGAUGGUUGUAUGUAGGCCCGCACUCCUGCGCGCAAGCAAAGGAUCUGUGGGCAUGCAUGGGUGUGAGGAAUCAACACCGGUUGCGCGGUCUGUAUUCGCGUAAGACCGACGCAACAGAAACUGGCCUGUAUGGCGGUUUCAAAACGAAUUUGAGAUCAAACGCAAUAAGGCACACGGUGGAUGCCUUGGCAUCGAGAGGCGAUGAAGGACGUGAUAAGCUGCGAUAAGCCUGGGGGAGCUGCACAUGAGCCGUAAUCCCAGGAUGU